GUCUGUGCUGUGUUCAGCACCAGUGACCCUGGCCUGGCGGGUAGAUCUACGAUCCACCGCGAGUAUCAUUACAUCAGCACAACGAGAGGCAGGGACAGUUCAGUCAUUCCGCCGUACCCAUAGGAUGCAGUGCAUGUCUCCGUCAGUCGAGUCUUGUCUUCCAUAAUUAAUUAAUUAUUGUCCGCCUGCCGAAGAAAGUUGGCCUAAGUCAGUUCGUUUGAAUGUCCCUAGUAACCUAGGUGUAUUAGAGUGUGUUGGAGAACAACUCUUCUUACCGGAGUGUUUCCUGAUAGUACUAACGCUUCAUCCGUGUGCCUCUCGAAAGAGAAACGGGUGUCCAGUGUUGUUCGAAGCACAGCGAUGUUCGACCGCGCACCGCCUGCAGUACCCAGUCCUGAAAGUCAAGACGGUCAAGACAGCAUGCUCGGAGCCGCUAAACCAGCCUCGGCGCUCUACACCAGCCACACAGCCAUCAACACACUCAACGAACUCGACGACUUUCUGAACGUAGAGGACAGCAGCAACAACACUUCGCAAUGCAACAGUUGUACGACGAGCAGAGGCGAAUGCUCGCCACGGAAGGCUUCGUUCAGUAAUAGCCGGUCGAACAGUUCCACGCUAGUACCAGCAGGAGAACCGUGUGAUGAGUGUGUUAGUUCGCCGAACAGUCUCAUUGGGGCGGUGAACAACCGGCAUGCGGAGUGCUUGAAGCGACUACUGAGCAGUCGAUGUGCCGCUCCGCAGCAGGAUACCACACCUUCAGGCGUCACCUGUGCACAUAUUUCCGCCAAGAUAGGAAAUCUCGAGGCUCUUCAUAUCUUGCUGGGCCACGAUCCCAAAGCAGUAGAGGUGCUACCGUCGCUCACGUUGCCGCUCACAACGGACACGUGGACUGUCUGACAUACAUGUAGCUGAGGACGGCGAUGUGUCGCGGAGUGUUUUUGAACACUAAACCCACCGCUAGGACGAGAAGUGGCCAAGCAAAUACAUGUACAUGUACUUCAACUUGCAAAAUAAAUGUCGCUGUGGACAGGAUUCGAACCUGCGCGGGCAGUGCCCAAUUGAUCUUAAGUCAAUCGCCUUAACCACUCGGCCACCACAGCUGGAUAAGAUGCACAUACACCACAUACACACGCCCACCCGCCGCCGAAGCGACUACAGGGAAGAAGCUAUGUUUGUGUGUGCGUGUCUGCGUGUGUGAGUUUUGCGUGUUCGCGUGUGUGUACAUGCGUGGGCACGUAUGUUCGUUUCUGGUGUAUUGGUGGCGCUGAUAUGUGGCUCAUUGAAAGACUUGUAUUCUUCUAUUGUGGAGUGGGGUGUUGUGGAGUGGGGUGUUGGUGUGUUGCCUAUGCGUAUUUAUUAUUUACUGGACUAUGUACUGGUAGGACAUUUAUUUAAUUGUCUUCUUCUGCAUGUAGGUGUUAAGCAUG
This is a long non-coding RNA of Sycon ciliatum, 1430 nucleotides long. RefSeq lists it as uncharacterized. The transcript has 2 exons. Lineage: Eukaryota; Metazoa; Porifera; Calcarea; Leucosolenida; Sycettidae. The record is from RefSeq and is a predicted model, not a curated record.